GCUGUCUGGCUUGGAGGUUGCAAUCCCAGGGAAUUUUUCAUCAGCGGGGAAGUCUCCAUCACUACAGAGGGAUCAAGGGAGAAGUCAGUCCCUGGGAUACUUUUAACAACAGAAGUGCCAAACUACAAAGAAGUGGAACCCACGAACAUCGUUGAAGAAAUUAAAGAUGACCUAAAUAAAUGGAAAAACACCCCAGUUCAUGGAUUAGAAGAUUUAAUAUCGUUAUGACAGCAGUACUCCCUAAAUUUUUCUACAGUUUCAAUGCAAUCCCUACCCAAGAUUCAAGUUGUCUUUUUUUUUUUCUUUUUGGCAGAAAUUAUUGACAAGCUGAUCUGAAUAUUCCUAUGACCUAAGAAUAGAUAAAACAAUCUUGAAAAAGAAAAAACAAAGUUGGAGGAGUCACACUAAUUAGACAGUGUGGUAGUGGCAUAAAGAGUGACAUAUAGAUCAAUAAAAUAGGGUUUAUAGUCUAGAAUAAACCCUUACAUUUAUAA
This is a long non-coding RNA of Balaenoptera ricei (Rice's whale), 494 nucleotides long. RefSeq lists it as uncharacterized. The record is from RefSeq and is a predicted model, not a curated record. Lineage: Eukaryota; Metazoa; Chordata; Mammalia; Artiodactyla; Balaenopteridae. The transcript is spliced from 2 exons.